This 692-nucleotide unclassified non-coding RNA is filed under the name Ixodes scapularis (black-legged tick). RNAcentral describes it as "uncharacterized LOC120847359, transcript variant X2". Lineage: Eukaryota; Metazoa; Arthropoda; Arachnida; Ixodida; Ixodidae. The record is from RNAcentral.
AGGCAGUCACCCUGCUCGACGAUGGGACAUCUAUUGGCGUCCUCAGGAAUUUUUUCCCAGCUCUACACAAUUCAUGCAAGGGUUCAAGAUUAUCGUGAGAACAGCAAAUCCGUGCCACUGGUGUAUGCACUAAUGACGCGAAAGACUGAGGCUGCAUACAUCCGCCUUUUUAAGGACCCUUCAAUAUGGUUGAGGAAGCCACUGGAAAUCAACUGAGUUCACUUUUCUUUUGACGGACUUUGAGCAGGCCGCAAUGAAUGCCAUUCAGAAGGUGUUGCCAGACACAAAGUGCCACAGGUGCUUGUUUCACUUGGGACACGCCAUCUACAAGCACGUGCAGGAGUACAAGCUCCAACCCCAGUAUAACCGUGACAAGAGCUUCGCGACGUCUGUGCGGAUGUUGACGGCACUGGCUUUUCUACCGUACGAGAGGAUCAGAGAGGCAUACAGCGCUAAGGUCAACUGGAAGUUGCUGUCCCUAUUUGUCACUUAUUCAUUGCCUCAAUAUCUCCGGUGUGGAGAUUCCUGCACUGCAUGAUGCCAAAGGUAAGUGGCUGCAUCUUAUGGUGCAACAAAUUCAAUUUGUAGAGCGAAAGCUGGGUGAUUAUAGAGGAAGCAAAAGUGGGUGCACCAACCUUUACACCUUAGUUGAAUAUUAAAUACGACUGUUACAAUUAUACAGGGUGUUUCAG